Long non-coding RNA from Lycium barbarum (goji berry), 840 nucleotides. RefSeq lists it as uncharacterized. Lineage: Eukaryota; Viridiplantae; Streptophyta; Magnoliopsida; Solanales; Solanaceae. The record is from RefSeq and is a predicted model, not a curated record. The transcript has 2 exons.
UAACAGCACCCCAAACGAACCCUAACACUAUUCCUCUUCAUCAAACGUGAACCCAGCUGGUGAGGACCAUUUUUAGCAAAAGAUUCACGCGUCUUCUUGCUCCCAGAACUUGCCUCACCAUUUCGGGCAAGAUAGUUAAUUGUCUUUGAAACGGUAACAUGAGCUUUUCUUCCUUUUUCAAUUUUCUUUUUUCAUUUUAAUCCCAUUUUCCAGCAAGGAUUCAGAUUUCAAACGAAAAUACUAGCCAAUUUCAGUUUCAAUUCAAGUCCCACAUCUAAUUUGAACCUCUCAAACCCUAGAAUUGGGGUUCUAUUUUAUAGAACCCCAUAUAUUCAUCUUCGAGAAAAAAAUUGAAGACCUGGAAAGAGGCUAAAACGAUUGAACUUGGACAAUUUUUGAUUUACAUCCAAAGGCCUCGAUUUCUUCAAAAACUCCUCCCAGUUCUUGAGUUUGUUUGAGUUCUAAUAUUUUCUAGUUCGUCGUAACAUUCGUCGUUGAGUCAAUAAGAAUUUGAAGGUAAUCAUCAACUCUCGUUGCCCCCAUCGCUGCUCGACAAAAAGAUUGUGUUCUUGAGAUUUCAUCCAGAUUACAUCUCUAGCUUGAAGCUAGUUUGCUUGAUCAGAUCCGAGGGUGAGCUUCUAACCAUGCCAUGCCACAUGAAGAUCUCACUUUCCAGAUGUCUAUUUUUAUUCCAGACAUUCUUUAUUAUUAUAUUUGAGAUAUACUUCAUUCUUUAGACAUUGUUAGUAAAGUCCUUGUACGAUGACUUUCAGAUCUUGGGGGUGUAAUAGUUAAGACGUCCGCACUUAUAUUAUCUAUUAAUUAUGAAUUUUUUUAUUU